UACAGAGGUCCCAAGCGUUGUUCGGAUUCACUGGGCGUAAAGGGUGCGUAGGCGGCCGGGUAAGUCUGAUGUGAAAUCUCACAGCUUAACUGUGAAACUGCAUUGGAUACUAUCCGGCUCGAGGAAUGGAGGGGAGACUGGAAUACUUGGUGUAGCAGUGAAAUGCGUAGAUAUCAAGUGGAACACCAGUGGCGAAGGCGAGUCUCUGGACAUUUCCUGACGCUGAGGCACGAAAGCCAGGGGAGCGAACGGG
This 253-nucleotide ribosomal RNA is filed under the name uncultured bacterium. RNAcentral describes it as "partial 16S ribosomal RNA". It matches the Rfam family "Bacterial small subunit ribosomal RNA", at positions 524 to 776 of the family's 1533-position model. The record is from RNAcentral.